Molecule: long non-coding RNA, 535 nt
Filed under: Callithrix jacchus (white-tufted-ear marmoset)
Lineage: Eukaryota; Metazoa; Chordata; Mammalia; Primates; Cebidae
Description: lncRNA (ENSCJAG00000071917.1)
Source: RNAcentral
AUGGUACCCAGAUGGCAUCUCUUUCGACCUUCAGGGGGACUCAAUAAAGGGGAAGCUGUGAGCAGAAACAUAGAAGAUAAAAUUCUAAAGAAUAUGCUGUGGAAGGUGCAAGAGUGUGGAAGUCCGAAGACUCCAGUGUCGGUCUAUUUCUGUCACAUAUGACUUAUGUGGGUGUAGAGGUUAUUUAACUUUUCCACACCUCCUUAUUCUUAUCUAUAAAAUGAGUUUUGCUUAUAUAGAAUGGUAUGACAGUUACAUUUCACAGUGUCUGUGAAAGCUCUUUGGCUAUGAUUGCCAGUUCUGUGCCUAGUUAUUUUGAACGGCAGUGCCCCAAUUUGGCCACUACUAUAUUUUUGUUCUUUUUCUGUUCUAAUGAAUCUUCAGUUACUAUCCAUUUGUCUUAAGAUGAAGAAAUAGGAAAUUCUCAACCUAACAGUAGCAAGAAAUAGAAACUGACUCAUGCUAACUUACUAAAGCAAGGUAUAUUCUAAGAGUCCUGGAUAGUUUGUAAAACUUGAUAAGUAGAGCCCCACAA